GACAGUUUGGCCGAGUGGUCUAAGGCUCUGGCUUAAUGCGCCAGUCUGAAAGAGCGUGGGUUCGGACCCCACAGCUGUCA
This 80-nucleotide transfer RNA is filed under the name Perkinsus marinus ATCC 50983. It matches the Rfam family "tRNA". Rfam says of the family: Transfer RNA (tRNA) molecules are approximately 80 nucleotides in length. Lineage: Eukaryota; Perkinsozoa; Perkinsida; Perkinsidae. The record is from Rfam by way of RNAcentral.